Myotis lucifugus (little brown bat) is the source of this 75-nucleotide non-coding RNA. The record is from Rfam. NCBI's taxonomy places the organism in Eukaryota, Metazoa, Chordata, Mammalia, Chiroptera, Vespertilionidae.
GGCGGUUCUUGGGUGAUGCACCCUGGAAUUGGGCUCCAUCCUCUCUGGUUCCAGGUGCGUCACCCAAGAACCACA